UAUUAUAGUCUGUCCCACGACCGGAACGUCACUACUUUUUGCAAAAUAUCUCAAAAUAAAUAAAUACCUUGGACUUCAACCUAUAUCCGAUUGGUAGAUUGAUUUUUUUCCAAACUUCCUGCAUUUAUCCGAACCCUCGAGGUCAACCAGUGUAUACACACGGCGGCAAAUUCAAAGUCUACGGGGAUUUAACAUGGUAAACUCGUCCAUUAACGUCUAGGUUACGGGGCCGGGAACCAGUUUUUGAAGGGAGUAGUCGGCCUUGGCAAAAUAAAUUUCCGAAAAAUAUUUAAAAAUUAAAGGAAUUAAUUUAAAUUGCUUUCAUUGAUAAUACAACUUUCACUUUGAAUUAAAAUUAAUUUUAACAGCAAUUAACAAGUUUAAUUAUUAACUUCGAGAAAAUAGUCCGAAUCUAACGAAGUACAACUUGUGGAGAAUGGAUGUUGACAUGAUGAUGCAAGCUCGCCAGUGUUUAAAACCAAUAUGAAGCUUGAUUUAGACACUGCAAUAUAAGGAGAGAGGCAGACCAAAAACCUUUGGCUAAAGCAAAGAUAAUAUGCAUAACAUAAGUAGUUACAUAAUUCACAAGAGUGCAAAGUUAUGAUGACCAUGCAGAGACAAGAUACCAUAACAAAGACAUGCAUGAAGAAGGAUGUUCACUCAAUUUUUCAGAAUAAUGUGUCAGAUUGAAAGUCAUCUUAUGUUGGACAAAACAAUCAGGACGUUCAUCUGGAUCACAGCUAGCACAAAUUAAAGUAUUGACAAAGAUUACCUGGUAGUCUGCAAAUGGAGUGAUCAUUGGAUGAGCCAGACAACACUAUUUUCCUCAGAAAUUUUAGGAUAGAGACUAGUCACUUGAUCUCCAUCUUCAUUCAUAGAUGACUGAUGUCGACAUUUUCUCACUUCUGUUUCAUGUCUUUACUACAAGUCAUGGACUCCACACUCCAGCAUCAGUGGGCGCUUGACUUUUAUAAACAUUUAUUCCUCUGAAAUUCAUAUAAUAUCCUUUAAUAUAGGACAUAUAUAACAAAUUAUUUAUUUUGUUAAAUAUUUUUAAAUUUUACUUAAUUAAUAAAACAAUGAAAACAGCUA
Saccostrea cuccullata (small rock oyster) is the source of this 1092-nucleotide long non-coding RNA. RefSeq lists it as uncharacterized. The transcript has 4 exons. Lineage: Eukaryota; Metazoa; Mollusca; Bivalvia; Ostreida; Ostreidae. The record is from RefSeq and is a predicted model, not a curated record.